Molecule: ribosomal RNA, 460 nt
Filed under: uncultured bacterium
Lineage: Bacteria
Description: partial 16S ribosomal RNA
Rfam family: Bacterial small subunit ribosomal RNA
Source: RNAcentral
CCUACGGGAGUCAGCAGUGAGGAAUAUUGGUCAAUGGACGAGAGUCUGAACCAGCCAAGUAGCGUGAAGGAUGACUGCCCUAUGGGUUGUAAACUUCUUUUAUAUGGGAAUAAAAUGUUCCACGUGUGGGAUUUUGUAUGUACCAUAUGAAUAAGGAUCGGCUAACUCCGUGCCAGCAGCCGCGGUAAUACGGAGGAUCCGAGCGUUAUCCGGAUUUAUUGGGUUUAAAGGGAGCGUAGGUGGAUUGUUAAGUCAGUUGUGAAAGUUUGCGGCUCAACCGUAAAAUUGCAGUUGAAACUGGCAGUCUUGAGUACAGUAGAGGUGGGCGGAAUUCGUGGUGUAGCGGUGAAAUGCUGAGAUAUCACGAAGAACUCCGAUGGCGAAGGCAGUUCACUGGACUGCAACUGACACUGAGGCUCGAAAGUGUGGGUAUCAAACAGGAUUAGAUACCCGAGUAGUC